This is a long non-coding RNA of Neopsephotus bourkii (Bourke's parrot), 759 nucleotides long. RefSeq lists it as uncharacterized. The transcript is spliced from 3 exons. The record is from RefSeq and is a predicted model, not a curated record. NCBI's taxonomy places the organism in Eukaryota, Metazoa, Chordata, Aves, Psittaciformes, Psittacidae.
AGGUCAUAUCACAGAACAGAAAUGGCUUGUGCACGGAUGGCAGCUGGAAAGGAAUAACGGAAGUCCAUGUCCAUGCACUGGGUGGACUAAAUCUUCAGUUUGAUGCAGUCAAGGCAAUCCCUGAAAACCAAGAACCUGUUGGUUUUCAUGUAUCUAAGGUGCAUCUGGUAAUGAGAAGGAACCAGACCAAAGAACUAAGAAACGCUGAUCCUCUGCGGGUGAAGUAAGCUACAGGCACUUCAGUGAAUGUCUUCAGUGCAAGCAUGUAAAGGAUCAUUUGAGACUAACUUGGGAAGUGAAUACUUGAGAUGAAGACCAACAUUUCAGAGCAUUUUUGCUUACAAAAGCAUCAGUAUCUAAGGGAAGCAAGCUUCAGAGAGAAAGCACAGCUGCACUCAUUUUUGCCUCACCUAGAGGAACACGCAGCUAAGGUGCCUCAACUCCCACCCAGCUGAGAAGCCAAGCACCCUGAGAUUUAUCUUACUGACCAGAAGAAGAACACAAGACUCAAACCUUGCGUGUGUGGGCUGAAUGUAUCAAGAUGAAUUUAUCCAGUAGGUUUGAGUAUUGAAAACAGCUGAGGAAGCCAUAAUAUGUGAGCAGGAAAAAGAAUGAAAAAGGUUUAAAUGCAUUAAAUAAAUUAUGGGCAGUAAAUUAGUUGCACUGCUUUCCCGCCUAAUGAGUUCCUUCGAUGGGAUUUGUAUACACCAGCAUGUUAAGCUACCAAGCUGAAUUACAAAUAGCAUCCUUGGAUCCUUC